UUAGCCGUCGCUUCUUCUGGUGGUACCGUCACUUUCUUCUUCCCACCUGAAAGCACUUUACAAUCCGAAGACCUUCAUCGUGCACACAGAAUUGCUGGAUCAGACUUUUUGGUCCCAUUGUCCAAUAUUCCCC
Molecule: ribosomal RNA, 133 nt
Filed under: uncultured bacterium
Lineage: Bacteria
Description: partial 16S ribosomal RNA
Source: RNAcentral